This 27-nucleotide non-coding RNA is filed under the name Mus musculus (house mouse). The record is from RNAcentral. Lineage: Eukaryota; Metazoa; Chordata; Mammalia; Rodentia; Muridae.
GCCUGGCUGUCCUGGAACUCACUUGUA